GAGUAUAAGUAGCGGACGAAGCAAAUCUUCAAACAUUGUCUGUAAAGCAACGAUUACUAACAAUAUGAAUUCUAAAUUGUUCAUUUUUGCCAUAUUGGCAGCUGUUUUGUUGGUAUCCGUAUCCGCAGCACCAGCAAUGAAAAAAGGUGACAUCGUAGUAGUUGUGGGUCGCAAACGCCGCGACGUUAGUUGCUUCGAAGUUUCUGAUGGAUCUGUCGAACCAAAUGGUCCUGGUUGUGACCAAAUUGAAGUUCAUCGAAAGCUAACAUAAUGCGGAAGUUGUGUGUUAACCAACAUUGCAAAGUUAGACAGAGUUAACCAGUUCAGUCUUAAUUAGUUCGGUCCUUAGGUUUACUAUAACAAAAUGUAUACUAAUUUGUUGUAAUCUAUAAAACCUGCGAAAUAAAUAAAAAAUUGUAAAAAUGA
Molecule: long non-coding RNA, 426 nt
Organism: Photinus pyralis (common eastern firefly)
Lineage: Eukaryota; Metazoa; Arthropoda; Insecta; Coleoptera; Lampyridae
Exons: 2
Source: RefSeq, a predicted model, not a curated record